GCCCUUUGCAAGGUGGCGGCAGCGGAAACGCCCGCACGGUUUCUUGUUGAACCGAGGACACCUAAACAGGGGGCAUUU
This 78-nucleotide small RNA is filed under the name chicken gut metagenome. The record is from RNAcentral.